Molecule: RNA transcript, 6179 nt
Organism: Cygnus atratus (black swan)
Lineage: Eukaryota; Metazoa; Chordata; Aves; Anseriformes; Anatidae
Gene: GPR68
Gene name: G protein-coupled receptor 68
Exons: 9
Source: RefSeq, a predicted model, not a curated record
CUGCAGCGCGAGCCUGCAAAGGACUGUUCGGUGCUUUUUGCAGCCUUUUCAGGUCACGUUCAAGAACUUUGUAAUUUUUCUGCUGCAUCCCUCCUCAAAAACUCUGAGGCCCCUUAACCCUGCAGAUAAUUUUAGCUCUCUGCUCUGGCAGAGGCCCUGGCAGAGGAAGGUUUCUGCCAUCUGGUAGCCUGUCAUACCUGAAGGGCCCUUUGCCUGUGUUUGGAACGAGGAGUUAUUUUUGAUGCUGGCUCUGACGUUAGCCAUGGGUACUCCUGGAAUAUUUCCAAGUCUUGUAAUUGCCAUUGUAUCCUUGUUUUUUCCUCUUUUUUUUAAAAAAAGUUUCCCUGCUUACGUUCUUCUGUGCUUUUCACCAGGAUAGAAAUAGAGAACCCGUUUUCUUGUUUUGGACUACCCAACACAAGACUCCUGUUUCCUGCCUUCUGGUCCCUGGCCACCCUUGGGGCACUGUCGCCCCCACGCAGCAAGCAGACAGAACUCAUCAGGUGCUGUCCUGAGCACACAGAGUCACCAGUGUCCUUACAGCAGCACAGGAGAGCGCUGCAUCAGUUGUACUAUAAAGAGCACACAGGAGCUGGAACACAAUCUCCUCCUCCUUCCCUGCACUGUUUCACCGACAGCCUCGCUCACAGCUGGAGGAAGACAGCCUCGCCAGCAGCCUGAGCAGAAGCUGGAAGAAGGGAAGUCUUGUGCUCUUUGCUCUGCAGGAAAACCAUCUUUGUAUAAACUGCUCACAGUAACACCCUGUGUUCACAUUGCCUCCAGAAGAGUAUGACGUUUGACCACUUCUUCUUUCAAGUUUGCUUUAAUCAAGAAGUUGCUAAGAACAGAACACUGGCAAGGAUGAGGGGGUUGCAAUGAUCACAUACUGAACUGGAGUCAACAAUAUGCUUCUGGGUAAAACCAACACAAAGGAAACAUAUCGCAUUGGGAAGUCUCAGCAGGCUGUUAUUAACAUCCUGCAGCGAGUCAUCACUUCAGCCUAAACUUUUUGUGGAUGAAAUAAGUGGUAUAUGAAACUGGAUGAAAUUAAGUUCUACAUCUAUUCAUUAAAGACCCUGAUGAAUGAUACAUGUUGAGAGGUAGAAGAUGAUGAAUUCCACAGACAAUGCAACUGAGCAGUGUAUUAUUGACCAUAAUAUCCACCAGACAUUAUCCCCCGUGGUAUACAUAUUUGUAUUUAUAAUAGGCUUGCCAGCUAACUGCCUGUCACUGUACUACGGGUACUUACAGAUCAAGGCUAAAAAUGAAUUGGGUAUCUACCUUUGCAAUUUGACUGUAGCAGACCUCUUUUACAUAUUUUCUUUGCCUUUCUGGAUCCAGUAUGUUUUACAGCAUGACAACUGGACCUAUGAUGAACUGCUGUGCAAAAUCUGUGGCAUCCUCUUGUAUGAGAAUAUCUAUAUCAGUGUGGGCUUCCUCUGCUGCAUCUCCAUCGACCGCUAUCUAGCAGUAGUGCACCCUUUUCAGUUUCAUCAGUUUCGGACAAUGAAGGCUGCUAUGAUUGUGAGCGCUGUUAUCUGGACCAAGGAAAUAAUGACCUGCUGGUUUGUCUUUACACACGGGGAGAUCAGUAUGGAUGCCGAGAGCCAUGUGGUAUGCUUUGAGCAUUACCCCAUCAAAGACUGGGAGCACAACAUCAAUUACUAUCGCUUCUCUGCUGGCUUCCUUUUCCCCUUCUUUCUGCUGGCCUUCUCUUACUGUGGGAUUUUAAGAGUUGUCCAUAAGAGUCACGGCACUCAGAAGAAGAAGAAAAUCCAAAUUAAACGUCUGGUUUCAAGCACUGUCUUCAUUUUUUUAGUGUGCUUUGCACCGUACCAUAUCCUACUUGUAAUUCGCAGCGUAUUUGAGAACAACUGCUCAUUUGCUGACAAAAUAUUUAACAUUUACCAUGCUUCUCUCCUGUUGACUACUUUUAACUGUGUUGCUGACCCAGUAUUGUACUGUUUUUCCAGUGAAAGCACUUACCAUAACUUUGCCAAGAUGCGAGACUCUUGUUUAACAUGUUUAGGAUGUCUAAAGACUGAGAUGAAAGAAUCCUAUCAGCUGAGUGCUCCAGAAACUCCGAACUGGCCACAACAUGAGCAACAGCCAGGGUUAUUACAAAAAUCAUGUGAUGCUACUGAAAUAAUGGAAGACUCUUCAAUUAACAUGGGCUAUUUAUAGCAUUCAUCAAAAAGGACACUUGUGUAAAAUCUCCAUGUAUGACUGUAUGUAUCCAUCUGAUUUAUCUGUGUAUUAAACUGUUUUACCUCCCAAAGGCUUAUUAGCAAUGCAAUACAGUGAGGUGCCCUUAGCUACAAUCAUGUAUAUUGUCAUUACGGUACCACUCAAAACCAGUCAACUGGCAUUGACUGAAAUAAGCUAGUAUUCAUGGUGUAGUUCUUUAACUGCUGUCUCUUUGCAGCAUCUGGAGAAAAAAAAAUCUCAACGAUGUGUUGAAAAGGUUGGAGACAGAACAAAUUAAAUGUGCUACCAUAACUACUUUUGAAAGGAAAAAAUUGAUGCAUUUCUGCAACGUAUUAUGUACUUCUCUGAAAUAACUCCUUCUCCAGCUAGUUUAAAGGUGUGCAGAGACCUUGCAAGAGCCAACUUGCUAAAACAACUGAUCAAAUAAUGUGAGAUGUUCUGGGACAACAGGCACAAGAAAUUCAGCAUCUGCUGAGACCUUCAGUGUGUGGAUUGACUGUUGAAACUCGUCGUAAGGCUUCUAUUGACUUCCAGAGGUCACUAAGCAUGUAGCCCACAGAGAAAGAAAUCACCUAACUCUUUAACUGAACAGGUAAAGCAUCAGUGUCUGAGAGGUGCAGUGCAAAACAGAGGCUGUCCUUCCUGCUGUGAGAACUGACAACUAGCACAUCUUCAGCCCAGACACUCAUCUUGAGUUGACGUAGUAGCACAGCUUUCAAAGACCUGUCUUCCCCACCACAAAGUAUUUUUAAAUCCAAGUUGCUACAAGAGUUACUUCCUGUCGCAGUUACGAGGGAGACUCUGACCUCAUCCUCAUUCAUUUUGGAUAGCAGUUCGUGAACACUGUUUUUCUUCUCUACACUCCCUCAAACAGCACGUUGGUGUCAAUGUUGAGUGCCUAUAUUGCGCAAAUGUGAAUCAGAGGAACCUCCACCUGAAGUAUCUCAAAAAACUACCUGUUGUUUCCCUAGCAGAGCAACAAGCUGCAGAUGCAUUUUCAAAGAAAAAGUACAGAGGAGGAAGAGGGUAUGUCAGGGGAAAAGGUUAACAAGAGAACCUAACUGGGCUGGAACCUAACAAACCUGAAGUUGCUCUUUCCCGGAAUGCUUUGAAGUAAUGUGUAAUUUCCUUUGUUUAGAACUGUAAACUCAAUUUUGUGUUUAUAACUGUUAUUUCCUUGCUUAACAGUGGUGUAAGCAGAUAUAAAGCAUGUUCCAAAUUGAGCUGUUAUAGUGCACAGAGGGAUCAAAAUCCUCGAUUGUGACCUAUGGGUCAGUUAGCAUUGUGAGAUGAAAAGAUGGGAUAAAAUCAGCUCUGAAAAAACACUACUUCUAUCAACAGUGAAAUUGGAAGAGUCUGGUUUCAAAUGGACUUACAUGUAGCUGUUUUGUCCCCUCCCAAAAGUUUUUUCUGAAAAGCCACAGCCUCAGUAGCACCAUUAAAGAAGAGACAGACCCCUCUCUCUUCUCUCCGGUAAUCAUUUUUGUGAAAUUUCCCAGAAUCUCAGAAUUUAGAAACCUCUUCCCUUUUGUGAAAUUUUGAACCUCCUGCUGAAUUUCAAUGAAGCUUACACAUUCCAUUUACCGUGGUAGCUAUAAUAAAAAGUCCUUCAGUGCAUAAAUUGUCUGUUCUUUCAGGAAUCGUUGAGAAUUCUGGAGACAUUCAAAAUGUCAUUAUUCUAUAUACUCUGCUCUUCAUUUGACAUGAAAUGUACACAUUAAAACUCUUCAUAUAAGGUCUUAGCAUUUUCUGUAAAGAUAAUUUGAUCCUCGAAUUUUGUUAAUAAAAAUCUAAGAAGAAUAAAAAGCCUAGUCACGUCUUCGCUUUCCUCCACCCCUCCCCUCACGUAACUUACAUAAUACCUUGAUGUAGUCAUAUACAUAUCUUUUUUUCUUCCUUUCUCAAGAACGUCUUUUCUUUCUAUGAAUGCCUUCUUUCUAAGAAUGCCUCUUCUGGUCUUUUGGUCUGUUUUACUUUACAGUUGUGUGAGACCCUGCUUUGAGGAAAUCGCUACUACCAUAAGAAGCCCUACCAGUGUCCUUGACAGACAGCUCUAUAGGUUCAAAUACUUCUUAUUUGAUAUUCCCUGCAAAAACAUUAGCAAAGUCCUUUAUAUCCUGGACACAGAUGAAUGAACAAAACAUUGCAAUGUUAAAAUGUCUAACGUUUUCUUAUUAAAUAAUUUGUUUUGUUUUAUUUAUUUAUUUUAUUUCUAGGAAAACUUCUAAACCACCUAGAAUAUAGUAGCUUUAGAUCUGAAUUUAUACAUAAUAUGGUUGUAUUUUACAUACUAUCAUAUAUGGCUGAAAUAUAAACAUUUCUGACAGAAUCAAAGCAUACCUUACAUGGUUGUUUAGCAGAGAAUUCAGUAUAACUUGGUAAACUGCUUUUUGAAUGCACUCCAUAUAAACAUUUAUCUUAUAUUUCCUGGUAAUGCAUCCUACAUCUUAGCUGUAACAAAGUGAAAUGAGCCACUCUUUUUCUAUUAAAGAAAAAAUAGCUAUAGUUACAUGGUGUCAGUCUUGACAUCAUGUAACAAUACAGCGAUGAUACAGCUAUUUAAGGAAAUUACCUGAAGACACUCUUAGCAUAAAAAGCACUACAUUGUCAUUUAUCAGCAGCUUAUAUCAUGCAUGAUGAUACAUACGAAUAUAUGAAUGCAAAUAGAAACAUCUGAUCUUUCUGCAAAGAGAGAUUUUGUCUUGGCACUGAGUAUCUAUAUGCAAAGUGGCAAAUUAUAUCUCCCGUGUCAUAAAAGAGACACCUGAAUUGGAUAAGCAAAAUUUCAUUUCUUACUUUGAAUUGUUUUUCCUAUAUAUUUACAGGCUAGAGCUCUUUGGUCUGCUUACAUAGGGAAAACAGGCUUAAUAUUAUAUAACUAUGCCUGAUAAACUGUAUUCUCUCAUCAAACGUUACUGCUUGCACUUGUGAGAAACAUACACAAUUUACACUAUGCUCAAAAUCAAACCAGCAUCGGAUUAACUGACACAAUCUUGAUUCAACUCCACACCUGAGAAGUAGGUAAAGACUGUUUAGGUCAAAUUAUUUCUUAUUGAUCAAUAUGUCAGCAAUGACCAAAUGCUUCUCAGUAUCUCUUAUUAAAAUAUAUAUAAAGAAUAAGUCAUGCAUUGAGGAAAAUCUUAGUACUUUGUUGAGCAGGAAUGGAGAGUGCCACAGUUCUGGGUUUUGUUACAUUGCAACCCUGAUAUUGCUUUAAUGUGAGGCUGGAGAAAACCUUUGUACUUCGGGGGAAGUCUUCUUAAUUUAGUAAUUAUGAUCUAUGGGUUUCAUGGAAAGAAUGCCAUUUCUGGAAUAAAAAUAAAAUGUGAUAAGAAAGCUGUUUGGUACUUAGGCAGUUACUCAAAUGUCUUCUUUCCAAUUACAAAUACACAAAUAUUAACACGGAGGUGGGUAUGGUGGUGCUUCUUAUCUUACUAGUGUAAUUAUUACAGCAUUAAAAGAAGCUGUACUAGGCGGAAAGUAGUCAUGUAAACCAUAAAUGGUCUGAUUUUUUUUUUUAUUCUAAUGGAGUAUGUGAACACUAAUGUAUUCAAGCUCAGGAAAUCUUCUGCGCUGUUUACUGUUCUAUGAUUUAUAAUUAAAGAUAUAAUCUCCUCUUGUCAGAAGAUUUGUCAUUUUCUUUCUUCCCACAAAACCAUUUCCACUAAUUUUAUCUCAAUAGAUUUUAGUGUUGAACUUUCAACAGCUCAUUAUUGGAUCAUUAUCAAUAUUGCCAGCUGUAUAACUUAGUAAAAUAAAAGCAAGAAGAAUUUCCUGUAUACAGUAUCACAUUUAAUUGCAGUAUCUCGUUACCAGGAAUUUUGAUCAUAGUAGUUUUUUGGAUAUGUAAAUUCAAAGGGAAAACAAGUAGAUGGAAGUCGAAAAAAUAAAAAGUGAAAAAUAAUUAAUGUUGGAGCUGUCUUACAUGUCAAACAGAAGUCAAAGGGUAAGUAUAUAUGACUAAACUAAAG